Molecule: ribosomal RNA, 498 nt
Filed under: uncultured bacterium
Lineage: Bacteria
Description: bacterial SSU rRNA
Rfam family: Bacterial small subunit ribosomal RNA
Source: RNAcentral
AACGCUGGCGGCGUGCCUAACACAUGCAAGUCGAACGGAGAUAAGCGCUGAUGAUUUAGCUUGCUAGAGAUUCUUGCUUAUCUUAGUGGCGGACGGGUGAGUAACGCGUGAGCAACCUGCCUUUCAGAGGGGGAUAACGUCUUGAAAAGGACGCUAAUACCGCAUGAUAUUAUGGAGCCACAUGGCUCUAUAAUCAAAGGAGCAAUCCGCUGAAAGAUGGGCUCGCGUCCGAUUAGGUAGUUGGCGGGAUAACAGCCCACCAAGCCGACGAUCGGUAGCCGGACUGAGAGGUUGAACGGCCACAUUGGGACUGAGACACGGCCCAGACUCCUACGGGAGGCAGCAGUGAGGGAUAUUGGUCAAUGGGGGAAACCCUGAACCAGCAACGCCGCGUGAGGGAUGACGGCCUUCGGGUUGUAAACCUCUGUUAUCAGGGACGAAGAAAGACGGUACCUGAAGAGGAAGCCACGGCUAACUACGUGCCAGCAGCCGCGGUAA